Molecule: ribosomal RNA, 1005 nt
Filed under: Salmonella enterica subsp. enterica serovar Dublin
Lineage: Bacteria; Pseudomonadati; Pseudomonadota; Gammaproteobacteria; Enterobacterales; Enterobacteriaceae
Description: bacterial LSU rRNA
Rfam family: Bacterial large subunit ribosomal RNA
Source: RNAcentral
GGGUUGUGAGGUUAAGCGACUAAGCGUACACGGUGGAUGCCCUGGCAGUCAGAGGCGAUGAAGGGCGUGCUAAUCUGCGAUAAGCGCCGGUAAGGUGAUAUGAACCGUUAUAACCGGCGAUACCCGAAUGGGGAAACCCAGUGUGACUCGUCACACUAUCAUUAACUGAAUCCAUAGGUUAAUGAGGCGAACCGGGGGAACUGAAACAUCUAAGUACCCCGAGGAAAAGAAAUCAACCGAGAUUCCCCCAGUAGCGGCGAGCGAACGGGGAGGAGCCCAGAGCCUGAAUCAGCAUGUGUGUUAGUGGAAGCGUCUGGAAAGGCGCGCGAUACAGGGUGACAGCCCCGUACACAAAAGCGUAUGUGCUGUGAGCUCGAUGAGUAGGGCGGGACACGUGGUAUCCUGUCUGAAUAUGGGGGGACCAUCCUCCAAGGCUAAAUACUCCUGACUGACCGAUAGUGAACCAGUACCGUGAGGGAAAGGCGAAAAGAACCCCGGCGAGGGGAGUGAAAAAGAACCUGAAACCGUGUACGUACAAGCAGUGGGAGCCCCACCACUAAGCCAGUGGUGAACUCCACAUACGCAUCCUUUGCUGAGGAUACGGUUAACGGAGCGAAAGCGACGUUCAACCGCAAAAGAAGCAGAGGGGGCUUAGUGGUGGGGUGACUGCGUACCUUUUGUAUAAUGGGUCAGCGACUUAUAUUCUGUAGCAAGGUUAACCGAAUAGGGGAGCCGGAGGGAAACCGAGUCUUAACCGGGCGUUAAGUUGCAGGGUAUAGACCCGAAACCCGGUGAUCUAGCCAUGGGCAGGUUGAAGGUUGGGUAACACUAACUGGAGGACCGAACCGACUAAUGUUGAAAAAUUAGCGGAUGACCUGUGGCUGGGGGUGAAAGGCCAAUCAAACCGGGAGAUAGCUGGUUCUCCCCGAAAGCUAUUUAGGUAGCGCCUCGUGAAUUCAUCUCCGGGGGUAGAGCACUGUUUCGGCUAGGGGGCCAUCCCGGCUU